AUUGAACGCUGGCGGCAGGCCUAACACAUGCCAGUCGAGCGGAUGAAGGGAGCUUGCUCCUGGAUUCAGCGGCGGACGGGUGAGUAAUGCCUAGGAAUCUGCCUGGUAGUGGGGGAUAACGUCCGGAAACGGGCGCUAAUAUCGCAUACGUCCUGAGGGAGAAAGUGGGGGAUCUUCGGACCUCACGCUAUCAGAUGAGCCUAGGUCGGAUUAGCUAGUUGGUGGGGUAAAGGCCUACCAAGGCGACGAUCCGUAACUGGUCUGAGAGGAUGAUCAGUCACACUGGAACUGAGACACGGUCCAGACUCCUACGGGAGGCAGCAGUGGGGAAUAUUGGACAAUGGGCGAAAGCCUGAUCCAGCCAUGCCGCGUGUGUGAAGAAGGUCUUCGGAUUGUAAAGCACUUUUAGUUGGGAAGAAGGGCAGUGAGUUAAUACCUUGCUGUUUUGACGUUACCAACAGAAUAAGCACCGGCUAACUACGUG
Molecule: ribosomal RNA, 484 nt
Filed under: uncultured bacterium
Lineage: Bacteria
Description: partial 16S ribosomal RNA
Rfam family: Bacterial small subunit ribosomal RNA
Source: RNAcentral